Camelus ferus (Wild Bactrian camel) is the source of this 70-nucleotide transfer RNA. It matches the Rfam family "tRNA". From Rfam's summary of the family: Transfer RNA (tRNA) molecules are approximately 80 nucleotides in length. Lineage: Eukaryota; Metazoa; Chordata; Mammalia; Artiodactyla; Camelidae. The record is from Rfam.
GGGUAUAGCUCAGUGGUAGAGCACAUGCUUAGCAUGCAUGAGGUCCUGGGUUCAAUCCCCAGUACGGCCA